Molecule: ribosomal RNA, 253 nt
Filed under: uncultured prokaryote
Description: partial 16S ribosomal RNA
Rfam family: Bacterial small subunit ribosomal RNA
Source: RNAcentral
UACAGAGGGUGCGAGCGUUAAUCGGAGUUACUGGGCGUAAAGGGCGCGUAGGCGGUUGUGUGAGUGUGAUGUGAAAGCCCUGGGCUUAACCUAGGAAGUGCAUCGCAAACGACAUAACUGGAGUAUAUGAGAGGGUGGUGGAAUUUCCGGUGUAGCGGUGAAAUGCGUAGAGAUCGGAAGGAACGUCAAUGGCGAAGGCAGCCACCUGGCAUAAUACUGACGCUGAGGCGCGAAAGCGUGGGGAUCAAACAGG